Long non-coding RNA from Aphis gossypii (cotton aphid), 769 nucleotides. RefSeq lists it as uncharacterized. The record is from RefSeq and is a predicted model, not a curated record. Lineage: Eukaryota; Metazoa; Arthropoda; Insecta; Hemiptera; Aphididae. The transcript has 3 exons.
CUUAAUAUUUGAUAAAUUAAAUGAUAAUUUGUUUGUUAUAUUUUAUCUGGCUUAAAAAUUGCAACUAAUAAAUAGUAAAAUAUUUUUAAGUUAAAAAAUCUUUCAUAAUUCAAUGAUUUUUAGAACUUUAUAGAGUUAAAGAAGAGAAACAAACUUAAUAUAAAGGAUUACAAUUACGUUAUUUUGAAGAACGUUGCAUGAUGCAAUUAGCAUAAACAUACGAAGUUACGGAUAUGCGGCGUGAACUGCAUAAGAUAGUUCAGAAACUGCAAAAGACUGUAGAAAAGCAGAAAUUGAAGAUCGAAAAUAUAAAUAAUUGUUAUGAAGAACGGUUAAAUGAAAAAAUUAAAGUAUUAAUAGGAUAGUGUUAUGUAAUUAAAUUAAUACAUUAUAAAAUAUUUUUCUAUUAAAAAUAUUUUAUUUAAUUCAAUACUUUCUAGAACUGUAUAGAGCUGAAGAAGAGGAAAAAGCAUCUAAAAAAUUAAAAGUAUAUCAAGCAUACACAUUUUGAAUGAUUUAAUGAACAAUUACCUUAUUGAUGUUAUUACAACGACGCGUUACUUAACGUUUUUCACACAGUGAGGUUUUAUUCAAGAAAACUACCCACACAUCCAAACAUUUGAAAACACUUACCGAAGUUGUGUGUUACAAAGUUUUGAUAAGAAAAAUAUUAAACAAAAGUCAAUACGCUAUAUGCGCACAGUUCCAUUUGUGAAAACACCAUGGGAUGCGAACUUCACGAAGUCACGACACGGUAUAAUUUUACACA